Molecule: ribosomal RNA, 945 nt
Filed under: uncultured bacterium
Lineage: Bacteria
Description: bacterial SSU rRNA
Rfam family: Bacterial small subunit ribosomal RNA
Source: RNAcentral
AGAGUUUGAUCAUGGCUCAGAACGAACGCUGGCGGCGUGGAUUAGGCAUGCAAGUCGAACGAUAUCCUGGGCAUCCAAGUAGCAAUAUGAGGGUGUUCAGGGGACAGUGGCGAAAGGGUGAGUAACGCGCGGGUAAUCUGCCUUCGAGUUGGGGAUAGCUCUGCGAAAGCGGAAUUAAUACCGAAUGUGGUCAUGGCGCACAUGCGCCAUUAUCCAAAGCCGGGGACCGCAAGGCCUGGCGCUCGAGGAUGAGCCCACGUACUAUCAGCUUGUUGGUGAGGUGACGGCUCACCAAGGCUAUGACGGUUAGCUGGUCUGAGAGGAUGGUCAGCCACACUGGGACUGAGACACUGCCCAGACUCCUACGGGAGGCUGCAGUCGAGGAUCAUUCGCAAUGCGCGAAAGCGUGACGGUGCGACGCCGCGUGCAGGAUGAAGGCCUUCGGGUCGUAAACUGCUGUCAUGAGGGAACAAUGUCCGGGAUGUGAAUAUCAUCCCGGGGUGAUAGUACCUCAAGAGGAAGCCACGGCUAACUCUGUGCCAGCAGCCGCGGUAAUACAGAGGCGGCAAGCGUUGUUCGGAUUUACUGGGCGUAAAGGGUACGUAGGCGGUUCUGUGUGUCGGACGUGAAAUCUCACAGCUCAACUGUGGAAUUGCAUUUGAAACUACAGGGCUGGAGUACAGGAGAGGAGAGCGGAAUUCUCGGUGUAGCGGUGAAAUGCGUAGAUAUCGAGAGGAACACCGGGUGGCGAAGGCGGCUCUCUGGACUGAUACUGACGCUGAGGCACGAAAGCUGGGGGAGCAAACAGGAUUAGAUACCCUGGUAGUCCCAGCCCUAAACGGUGUGCACUUGGUGUGGGGGAGGAUUGUCCCUUCCUGUGCCGGAGCUAACGCGUUAAGUGCACCGCCUGGGGAGUACGGUCGCAGAUUAAACUCAAAGGAAUUG